CCUACGGGGGGCAGCAGUGGGGAAUAUUGCACAAUGGGGGAAACCCUGAUGCAGCGACGCCGCGUGGGUGAAGAAGCGCCUCGGCGCGUAAAGCCCUUUCAGCAGGGAAGAAAAUGACGGUACCUGAAGAAGAAGCCCCGGCUAACUACGUGCCAGCAGCCGCGGUAAUACGUAGGGGGCAAGCGUUAUCCGGAUUUACUGGGUGUAAAGGGGGCGCAGACGGCGAUGCAAGCCAGGUGUGAAAGCCCGGGGCCCAACCCCGGGACUGCUCUUGAAACUGCGUGGCUAGAGUGCAGGAGGGGCAGGCGGAAUUCCUGGUGUAGCGGUGAAAUGCGUAGAUAUCAGGAGGAACACCGGUGGCGAAGGCGGCCUGCUGGACUGCAACUGACGUUGAGGCACGAAAGCGUGGGGAGCAAACAGGAUUAGAUACCCUUGUAGUC
This 440-nucleotide ribosomal RNA is filed under the name uncultured bacterium. Its description in RNAcentral is "partial 16S ribosomal RNA". It matches the Rfam family "Bacterial small subunit ribosomal RNA", at positions 338 to 795 of the family's 1533-position model. The record is from RNAcentral.